UGCAAGUCGAACGGUAGCACAGAGAGCUUGCUCUCGGGUGACGAGUGGCGGACGGGUGAGUAAUGUCUGGGAAACUGCCUGAUGGAGGGGGAUAACUACUGGAAACGGUAGCUAAUACCGCAUAACGUCGCAAGACCAAAGAGGGGGACCUUCGGGCCUCUUGCCAUCAGAUGUGCCCAGAUGGGAUUAGCUAGUAGGUGGGGUAACGGCUCACCUAGGCGACGAUCCCUAGCUGGUCUGAGAGGAUGACCAGCCACACUGGAACUGAGACACGGUCCAGACUCCUACGGGAGGCAGCAGUGGGGAAUAUUGCACAAUGGGCGCAAGCCUGAUGCAGCCAUGCCGCGUGUAUGAAGAAGGCCUUCGGGUUGUAAAGUACUUUCAGCGGGGAGGAAGGUGUUGUGGUUAAUAACCACAGCAAUUGACGUUACCCGCAGAAGAAGCACCGGCUAACUCCGUGCCAGCAGCCGCGGUAAUACGGAGGGUGCAAGCGUUAAUCGGAAUUACUGGGCGUAAAGCGCACGCAGGCGGUCUGUCAAGUCGGAUGUGAAAUCCCCGGGCUCAACCUGGGAACUGCAUUCGAAACUGGCAGGCUAGAGUCUUGUAGAGGGGGGGUAGAAUUCC
RNAcentral lists this ribosomal RNA (624 nucleotides) under bacterium. RNAcentral's name for it is "bacterial SSU rRNA". It matches the Rfam family "Bacterial small subunit ribosomal RNA", at positions 56 to 670 of the family's 1533-position model. The record is from RNAcentral.